AAAUUGAAGAGUUUGAUCAUGGCUCAGAUUGAACGCUGGCGGCAGGCCUAACACAUGCAAGUCGAGCGGUAGCACAGAGAGCUUGCUCUCGGGUGACGAGCGGCGGACGGGUGAGUAAUGUCUGGGAAACUGCCUGAUGGAGGGGGAUAACUACUGGAAACGGUAGCUAAUACCGCAUAACGUCGCAAGACCAAAGUGGGGGACCUUCGGGCCUCAUGCCAUCAGAUGUGCCCAGAUGGGAUUAGCUAGUAGGUGGGGUAACGGCUCACCUAGGCGACGAUCCCUAGCUGGUCUGAGAGGAUGACCAGCCACACUGGAACUGAGACACGGUCCAGACUCCUACGGGAGGCAGCAGUGGGGAAUAUUGCACAAUGGGCGCAAGCCUGAUGCAGCCAUGCCGCGUGUGUGAAGAAGGCCUUCGGGUUGUAAAGCACUUUCAGCGGGGAGGAAGGCGGUGAGGUUAAUAACCUCAUCGAUUGACGUUACCCGCAGAAGAAGCACCGGCUAACUCCGUGCCAGCAGCCGCGGUAAUACGGAGGGUGCAAGCGUUAAUCGGAAUUACUGGGCGUAAAGCGCACGCAGGCGGUCUGUCAAGUCGGAUGUGAAAUCCCCGGGCUUAACCUGGGAACUGCAUUCGAAACUGGCAGGCUAGAGUCUUGUAGAGGGGGGUAGAAUUCCAGGUGUAGCGGUGAAAUGCGUAGAGAUCUGGAGGAAUACCGGUGGCGAAGGCGGCCCCCUGGACAAAGACUGACGCUCAGGUGCGAAAGCGUGGGGAGCAAACAGGAUUAGAUACCCUGGUAGUCCACGCCGUAAACGAUGUCGAUUUGGAGGUUGUGCCCUUGAGGCGUGGCUUCCGGAGCUAACGCGUUAAAUCGACCGCCUGGGGAGUACGGCCGCAAGGUUAAAACUCAAAUGAAUUGACGGGGGCCCGCACAAGCGGUGGAGCAUGUGGUUUAAUUCGAUGCAACGCGAAGAACCUUACCUGGUCUUGACAUCCACAGAACUUUCCAGAGAUGGAUUGGUGCCUUCGGGAACUGUGAGACAGGUGCUGCAUGGCUGUCGUCAGCUCGUGUUGUGAAAUGUUGGGUUAAGUCCCGCAACGAGCGCAACCCUUAUCCUUUGUUGCCAGCGGUUAGGCCGGGAACUCAAAGGAGACUGCCAGUGAUAAACUGGAGGAAGGUGGGGAUGACGUCAAGUCAUCAUGGCCCUUACGACCAGGGCUACACACGUGCUACAAUGGCAUAUACAAAGAGAAGCGACCUCGCGAGAGCAAGCGGACCUCAUAAAGUAUGUCGUAGUCCGGAUUGGAGUCUGCAACUCGACUCCAUGAAGUCGGAAUCGCUAGUAAUCGUAGAUCAGAAUGCUACGGUGAAUACGUUCCCGGGCCUUGUACACACCGCCCGUCACACCAUGGGAGUGGGUUGCAAAAGAAGUAGGUAGCUUAACCUUCGGGAGGGCGCUUACCACUUUGUGAUUCAUGACUGGGGUGAAGUCGUAACAAGGUAACCGUAGGGGAACCUGCGGUUGGAUCACCUCCUUA
This 1540-nucleotide ribosomal RNA is filed under the name Klebsiella pneumoniae. RNAcentral's name for it is "bacterial SSU rRNA". It matches the Rfam family "Bacterial small subunit ribosomal RNA". The record is from RNAcentral. Lineage: Bacteria; Pseudomonadati; Pseudomonadota; Gammaproteobacteria; Enterobacterales; Enterobacteriaceae.